UGGGGAAUAUUGGACAAUGGGCGCAAGCCUGAUCCAGCAAUACCGCGUGUGUGAAGAAGGCCUUAGGGUUGUAAAGCACUUUCAAUUGGGAGGAAUACCUAUCGGUUAAUACCCGGUAGAUUGACAUUACCUUUAGAAGAAGCACCGGCUAACUCCGUGCCAGCAGCCGCGGUAAUACGGAGGGUGCGAGCGUUAAUCGGAAUUACUGGGCGUAAAGCGUGCGUAGGUGGUUAUUUAAGUCAGAUGUGAAAGCUCCGGGCUUAACCUGGGAACGGCAUUUGAUACUGGAUAGCUGGAGUUUGGAAGAGGAGAGUGGAAUUUCAGGUGUAGCGGUGAAAUGCGUAGAUAUCUGAAGGAACACCAGUGGCGAAGGCGACUCUCUGGUCUAAAACUGACGCUG
Molecule: ribosomal RNA, 400 nt
Filed under: uncultured bacterium
Lineage: Bacteria
Description: bacterial SSU rRNA
Rfam family: Bacterial small subunit ribosomal RNA
Source: RNAcentral